GUUAUGCUGAGAGAGGAACAGAUUGCUCCCCUGACUCCAGUAACAAGGAGUGCUUUUAGAUUGAGGAGUUUUCAAAGGGAGAUUCAGAACCUGAGCUUGUUCCCUAGGCUAAUGUGCCCUGGGCAGAAUAUUUAUUUAGGAAAGAGGGUUUUUAGUUUGUGUGAACUGACCUGCUUCAGACCAUGAAUAAUGAGGAAUUGAUACUUGAACCCAUUUCCUCUGAUCCUCAACUUUCUGCAUAUGCAUUUUUGUUGUUAUUUGUUUACCUUUUGAACAGGAUGGACCGCACCAACGCAGCUUGUUCCCCUCGUAAGUCCCUGACUGUGGCCAAGUCUACCCCUCGGCGUUUUCGAACCCGUACUGAACCCAGGGAGCCUGGAAGCUGUGUGGGCGCGGCACGCACCUGCGCAGUUCCGUCAACGCUCACCUGCCCAGGGCAUCCGGAACCUCUAGGUCUGUGAGAACCCAGGCUACCUCAGCUCUGCCAGCAGCCUUUGUUGAGCUGCGCAUCAGCUGCAGGGUACUCAUGAUACGGAGUAGAGAAGGUUGUUGGAGCCCGACCUGUUGGAGGACACACAGAACGUUUGUGGGAGUCAAGUUCCCGAAUGUUUCUCCUCAGAGGACUAUCAGGCCUUGCGGGGGGCAUGGCAGACUUUCCGGCGAUCCGGUGAGACGUGGCUUCAGGCUGCAGGGAAACAGAGGCAUAUGAGUCAACCAUACAUUAAAGUUCCUGUGUAGUGAUUCUACUCACAUGACCCAUGGAUACUUCAGUUUGCUUCCUCACAGCAAUGGAUGCCAGAUCUCAAGGAUUAUAAUCCUUGUAUCUCCAGCACUGGAUUUUUGAUGGAAUAAUGGAUGGUGGUCUGAUGAGCUCUGUUCUGCUCACCCAGGAACUGCUCUUCGCAUUGAUUUUGUUUAAAGGAAAGCUUGUGUGUAGUAUAACCUUUAGCGUGCGCAGAAAAUAACACCCAGAGUCGUGUAGCAAAUGGCAGCUGAAUUUUAAAAGUUGAACACAAUCCAAACAAGGUUAUUGUACUUUCUUCACUGAUUUUGUAAAUCAACAUAUUAAAC
Long non-coding RNA from Bubalus bubalis (water buffalo), 1071 nucleotides. RefSeq lists it as uncharacterized. The transcript is spliced from 3 exons. The record is from RefSeq and is a predicted model, not a curated record. NCBI's taxonomy places the organism in Eukaryota, Metazoa, Chordata, Mammalia, Artiodactyla, Bovidae.